UACGAAGGGGGCUAGCGUUGCUCGGAAUUACUGGGCGUAAAGCGCGCGUAGGCGGCUUUGCAAGUCGGGUGUGAAAUCCCCAGGCUUAACCUGGGAACUGCAUUCGAGACUGCAUUGCUAGAGUAUGGGAGAGGGAAGUGGAAUUUCCGGUGUAGCGGUGAAAUGCGUAGAUAUCGGGAGGAACACCUGUGGCGAAGGCGGCCCCCUGGUUGGAUACUGACGCUGAUACGCGAAAGCGUGGGGAGCAAACAGG
This 253-nucleotide ribosomal RNA is filed under the name uncultured bacterium. RNAcentral's name for it is "partial 16S ribosomal RNA". It matches the Rfam family "Bacterial small subunit ribosomal RNA", at positions 524 to 776 of the family's 1533-position model. The record is from RNAcentral.